This 223-nucleotide long non-coding RNA is filed under the name Brassica napus (rape). Its description in RNAcentral is "long non-coding RNA (BNAP_LNC004047)". Lineage: Eukaryota; Viridiplantae; Streptophyta; Magnoliopsida; Brassicales; Brassicaceae. The record is from RNAcentral.
CCCUUUCCAUGACUACUCCAUAACCCACAGCUUUCCAAAGCUCUUUUAGCCCACCUUGACCACUCGCCAUGCCUCUCCUCUUCAGUCUUCACAGUUGACUCAGGUCUGUGCUCCAUUUCCAUGUUGAGAUGAUUUGGAUUCACCAGAACCUCUCACGCCACCAAGAUAAUGAAACCAGAAGUUAAGAACACCAAGAACACUCAAGAACACUCAAUAAUUUUAA